Molecule: long non-coding RNA, 726 nt
Organism: Cynoglossus semilaevis (tongue sole)
Lineage: Eukaryota; Metazoa; Chordata; Actinopteri; Pleuronectiformes; Cynoglossidae
Exons: 5
Source: RefSeq, a predicted model, not a curated record
CGCGCACAGCAGUGACGUGAGCGCUGUCACCAGUGCUGACAGCGCUCCAAACUGGUCCAGAGGGUAGAACAUGUCCAACUCCCAGCAUGCACCUGGCUCUGCUGAGCAGCAACAGUUUCAGAACAGAAGUCCUUUUUUCAGAGGUCGUGACCCCAGACCUCGGCCCGAUCACCUGAUACACCGGCAUUCCAACUCGACCAGGAGUUCCACCUGAAGGAUAAUGAACCAGAACAGCGACACACACACACACACACACACACGGUCCCUGGAGGAGGCUGUUUAGAAAAGGUGGCGACUUGGAGAAAGGAGGAGAGAAUCAAAGGAAGGACGACUAGAAGGAAGGGAGGCAGGAGCAUUUUCGGAGCUUUGACCUGCACCGGCACCCCCCAGUGGACGACGACUUCCCGUCUCGAUGUAGAGCUGCCAGUCAGGAAAGUAACUGGAUUAAGAAUCAGCCUGAUGAAUCGACUGUCGCAGCCAGUUAAAAAAGACAUUAGAGAACAGGAAACAGGAGCUGCUGCCUCGUGUGGUCGGUUUGUGUCACUGAGGGGAAUAUGAACAAAGACUUUUGAACACAAACCUUUUAUAUUUGAACUUUGUGAUGACGGCAGUUUGUUUGAAGUUUGAACUGAUUCCAAUCAUUUGCUUUAUUUCCGCUGGAAAUUAUUGCUAAUUUGAAAUUAUUAUUUUUUAAAAAUGAAGAAGAAAUAAUAUCAGCAGCAGAAG